Molecule: transfer RNA, 75 nt
Filed under: Candidatus Kaiserbacteria bacterium
Lineage: Bacteria; Candidatus Kaiseribacteriota
Description: tRNA-Val
Rfam family: tRNA
About the family: Transfer RNA (tRNA) molecules are approximately 80 nucleotides in length.
Source: RNAcentral
GCACCCUUAGCUCAGACAGGUUAGAGCGUUCGAUUCACAUUCGAAAGGUCGGAAGUUCGAAUCUUCCAGGGUGCA